Molecule: non-coding RNA, 453 nt
Organism: Pelobates cultripes (western spadefoot toad)
Lineage: Eukaryota; Metazoa; Chordata; Amphibia; Anura; Pelobatidae
Source: the annotation of a GenBank genome assembly
GAUAUGUCUGAUUAUGCCCGGUACAUAGUAACGCACUCAUUACUGUAGCUUCAGCAGCAACGGCCCAGAGAUGCUGGUUCCUUGGAAUAGACAUUUAGUGAGUCUAGAGAAGAUCCAUCCAAAAUCCUGCAGGACCUACAGUUAGAAGCAGAUGUUUUGGUAAAGGCUACUCCUGGGGCAGCAAAACUAUCCGCCACACCUAUCGGAUCGACGACCAUGGUAAGAAGAGCUCCCUGGCUAAAGAAACUGGACAACAGUGUCUAAACAUGCAUUGUGUGACCUCCCUUUUUUGCAAGGGCGUUUAUGUGGUUCCCAGUUGGAUGAGCUUAUACAUGUUGCAGAAGGGGGAAGAAAAAAAAAAAAGUGUUGCCACUAGAUGAGAGAUGUGAACUGAAUAAUGUUUUUGCUAGAGAGACAUUAUAUGAAUUCCUUUUGCAGAUCCGGAUAUAAAGG